This 466-nucleotide ribosomal RNA is filed under the name uncultured bacterium. RNAcentral's name for it is "bacterial SSU rRNA". It matches the Rfam family "Bacterial small subunit ribosomal RNA", at positions 338 to 808 of the family's 1533-position model. The record is from RNAcentral.
CCUACGGGAGGCAGCAGUAAGGAAUAUUGGACAAUGCUCGCAAGAGUGAUCCAGCCAUGCCGCGUGCAGGAAGAAUGCCCUAUGGGUAGUAAACUGCUUUUGAACUAGAGAAAACCCUACUACGAGUAGUAGGCUGAUAGUAUAGUUAGAAUAAGCAUCGGCUAACUUCGUGCCAGCAGCCGCGGUAAGACGAAGGAUGCAAGCGUUAUCCGGAUUCAUUGGGUUUAAAGGGAGCGUAGGUGGACAUAUAAGUCAGUGGUGAAAUCUCCGAGCUUGACUCGGAAAUUGCCAUUGAUACUGUUUGUCUUGAGUACAGUUGCUGUGGGCGGAAUAUGACAUGUAGUGGUGAAAUACAUAGAGAUGUCAUAGAACACCGAUUGCGAAGGCAGCUCACAAAGCUGUAACUGACACUGAGNUCGAAGUAGNGGAGUACAACAGAUAGAUACCUCGUAGUCGCACUGUAACG